This 600-nucleotide ribosomal RNA is filed under the name uncultured archaeon. RNAcentral describes it as "bacterial SSU rRNA". It matches the Rfam family "Archaeal small subunit ribosomal RNA", at positions 163 to 767 of the family's 1478-position model. The record is from RNAcentral.
UUAUGCCUUGGAAUGGCUUAUGGUCAAACAAUUUAUUGCGUAGGAUGGGACUGCGGCCCUAUCAGCUGUUGGUGAGGUAAUGGCCCACCAAGGCUAUAACAGGUACGGGCUCUGAGAGGAGAAGCCCGGAGAUGGGUACUGAGACACGGACCCAGGCCCUAUGGGGCGCAGCAGGCGAGAAACCUUAGCAAUGUGCGAAAGCACGACUAGGUUAAUCCGAGUGAUUUCUGUUGAAGAAAUCUUUUGUCAGUCGUAAAACCACAGACGAAUAAGGGGUGGGCAAGUCUGGUGUCAGCCGCCGCGGUAAUACCAGCACCUCGAGUGGUCAGGAGGUUUAUUGGGCCUAAAGCAUCCGUAGCCAACUUUGCAAGUCUCCGGUUAAAUCCAGCUGCUCAACAGAUGGGCUGCCGGAGAUACUACAAAGCUAGGGAGCGGGAGAGGCAGACGGUAUUCUGUGGGUAGGGGUAAAAUCCUUUGAUCCAUAGAGGACCACCAGUGGCGAAGGCGGUCUGCCAGAACGCGUUCGACGGUGAGGGAUGAAAGCUGGGGGAGCAAACCGGAUUAGAUACCCGGGUAGUCCCAGCUGUAAACGAUGCAAAC